Molecule: ribosomal RNA, 1545 nt
Filed under: Triticum aestivum (bread wheat)
Lineage: Eukaryota; Viridiplantae; Streptophyta; Magnoliopsida; Poales; Poaceae
Description: partial small subunit ribosomal RNA
Source: RNAcentral
AUGCCAACCCGCCUCUCCCGCAUUUUCCAUCAAACGCCCUUGCCGCAUGCCGCGCCGGAUUCAUGCCGCCCAAAGCAUGCAGCGGCCGGCAUGAUCCUGCGCAAUCUGACCGGACGGGAGGGCGGCGCCAACAGACAACCUCUCGGGCGUCACCGCAUCACGGCGGACGUCGUGUCCCGAGAAACCGACUCUCUCCGCUGCACCGCUUUGAAGUGGGCUGACCACACCUUCGCCUGGCCUAGCCACGGCUAUUUAAGCUGCAUGCCGGCGACGCACACAUCCGCACUCCUCCUCCUCGAGCAUCAUCCCCUCCCCCUCCCCGAUCCCUUCCUCUUCCCAAAGCCCUGCGGUGAUGCUGAACUCAUGGUUCUCUGCGCCGGCAGGCAGUGGAAAUUCCUCGUCAAGCGGAUCUUGGGGCCGCCGCCCUUGCUCUCCAGACCCUUCGGCAUCCACGACAGCGGGCUCCUCCGGCAAGGAGGAGAUAGUCAUCUCCUACGACGAUUAGGAGCACCAGCAGCCGCAGCACCUGCACCGUCUCUUCGUGGAAGUUGCUCUGACGGACGAAUAAUUCAUCCGUCAGAUGAAAAUCAUAACAUAGCACUCGCUCCGUUAGAUGGGCCCGGUGCCACCAUCGUUAGCGCACGCCAAGUAGGAGCCACUGUCCCCGAUGCACGUCCGCGUGAAGCGGGAGCCGGCAUCCCCACUCCGACGGCUGAAGGAUGUACCUGCAUCCCGACCGCACAACCGCGGCCUCCAUUUCGGAGGCCGCAUCAAGGGAGAGCCCGCGUCCCCCCAGCGCAUCCGUGGCGUCAAGCACGAUCCGGUGUCGCCCUCACCGCACAAGGAGGCGGUUCCGGCGGCGCCUCGGGCUCGGGGGCUGUCGUAUCCGAGAAGGAACGUGCGGCGAUGCAGCAAGCGUGGUAUGACUGGUGCAAUGUUGUUGGCCGCUCUGCGUUCGCCAAGUCCGACACUGCGUUGGAAUGGGUCCACAACGACCUGGACCUAGCCGUCGUGUGGGCCCUCUACCGCUCCAUCACCACAACGAGACGGCAACUCACCGCCGUCGCCUUCACGGCGACUUGGCCAAGAUCGGUGAGGAGUCGUCGCUUAGUGACUCCUUCGCCAAUCCCGGCAAGGGCAAGCCCACCGUCGGCUCUAGCCACGGCAACCCUCUACACAGGCAGGAGGAGGCGAAGUGGCCGAUCAUGGAUGUACGCAUACACAUAUCAGCUUUACUUAGGAGGAAAAUCACAACGUACCCCAUCGAUCGCUAUGGCAUGGUGCACGAAGAACAUCGGCAAAGGACUGUUGGCAGCCACCAAGGUGUUGAUAUGCUUGUGCCUGGUGACGAUGCUUGUCUUGUCAUCUGAAGAGAUGAAAUCGGAUGCCUGUGAUAAAGAUUGGAGCCUGACAUGGGACAACAGUUCAUGUAUCCUUCGCGGCACCUGCAACAAGCCCUGCAGAAGGGAGAACUUUGAGCGCGGCAUCUGCAAAAAACUCUUUCAUUGCAUGUGCUACAGACACUGCAACACUGAAUCUAUCUAG